AAGCCUUCUGGCGAUCUACACAAACAAGUCCACCGUGGACUUUGAAAAGCGCUUUCCUUUAUAAAAUUGAGCGUUUUGUAAGAGGAUGCCGGGGAAGGUUUUCCGGUUUAUCCCGGAGGGCUUGUAGCUCAGUUGGUUAGAGCGCGCGCUUGAUAAGCGUGAGGUCGGAGGUUCAAGUCCUCCCAGGCCCACCAAUUUAUCCAUUAUUUUCAUAAGUGCUUUUGAAAAAUAAGUACUUCUAAAAUAUCGCUUCUAAAAAUUGGCAUGCUUGUUGCUUUUGUGUGUGUGAUCCAAAGUUAAAGCAGUUUAAUGGCAAAAAAAGCAGUUCAAAUGCUAAAAUGCUAAAAGGUCAAAAUUUUGGGAAAGUGAUUUUUGCAGUGUCUAUUUGGUUGAUGUAAAUUUCGAAUAGUCAUGGACGUAAAUGCCCAUAUAAAACAUAUCGGUUAAAUUAUAUCACUUUGGGUCAUACGUUAUAAUACCUCCUUUAAUCGUUUUACCUGUUUUAGGGGCCGUAGCUCAGCUGGGAGAGCACCUGCUUUGCAAGCAGGGGGUCGUCGGUUCGAUCCCGUCCGGCUCCACCAUGAGGUCAUCAUCAUUGUGGUAAGAAC
RNAcentral lists this transfer RNA (608 nucleotides) under Bartonella koehlerae. RNAcentral describes it as "partial 16S-23S ribosomal RNA intergenic spacer". The stretch from base 118 to 191 matches the Rfam family "tRNA". Lineage: Bacteria; Pseudomonadati; Pseudomonadota; Alphaproteobacteria; Hyphomicrobiales; Bartonellaceae. The record is from RNAcentral.